CCUACGGGCGGCAGCAGUGGGGAAUAUUGCACAAUGGGGGAAACCCUGAUGCAGCGACGCCGCGUGAGUGAAGAAGCGUUUCGGCGCGUAAAGCUCUGUCAGCGGGGAAGAAACACGGUUCGCGAGAGCCGCGGACGGUACCCGACCAAGAAGCCCCGGCGAACUACGUGCCAGCAGCCGCGGUAAUACGGGGGGGGCAAGCGGUAUCCGGAUUCACUGGGGGGAAGGGGGGCGUAGCAGGCGAGACAAGUCUGGAGUGAAAGGCCGGGGCCCAACCCCGGGACUGCGCUGGAAACUGCCUGGCUGGAGUACAGGAGAGGUAAGGGGAAGUCCUGGGGUAGCGGUGAAAUGCGUAGAUAUUAGGAGGAACACCAGUGGCGAAGGCGGCUGACUGGACUGUAACUGACGUUGAGGCUCGAAAGCGUGGGGAGCAAACGGGAUUAGAUACCCCUGUAGUC
RNAcentral lists this ribosomal RNA (458 nucleotides) under uncultured bacterium. Its description in RNAcentral is "partial 16S ribosomal RNA". It matches the Rfam family "Bacterial small subunit ribosomal RNA", at positions 338 to 795 of the family's 1533-position model. The record is from RNAcentral.